AAAGGUAUAGCUCAGUGGUAGAGUGCAUGCCUAGCAUGCACAAGGUCCUCGGUUCCAUCCCUAGUGCCUCCA
This 72-nucleotide transfer RNA is filed under the name Camelus bactrianus (Bactrian camel). It matches the Rfam family "tRNA". Rfam says of the family: Transfer RNA (tRNA) molecules are approximately 80 nucleotides in length. Their secondary structure includes four short double-helical elements and three loops (D, anti-codon, and T loops). Lineage: Eukaryota; Metazoa; Chordata; Mammalia; Artiodactyla; Camelidae. The record is from Rfam by way of RNAcentral. RNAcentral also lists the same sequence under 2 other names.